This 632-nucleotide ribosomal RNA is filed under the name uncultured archaeon. RNAcentral describes it as "bacterial SSU rRNA". It matches the Rfam family "Archaeal small subunit ribosomal RNA", at positions 192 to 828 of the family's 1478-position model. The record is from RNAcentral.
AGGUCCGCCGCCUCAGGAUGGGUCUGCGGCCGAUUAGGUAGUUGUUGGGGUAAUGGCCCAACAAGCCAUUGAUCGGUACGGGUUGUGGGAGCAAGAGCCCGGAGAUGGAUUCUGAGACACGAAUCCGGGCCCUACGGGGCGCAGCAGGCGCGAAAACUUUACAAUGCGAGAAAUCGUGAUAAGGGAACCCCGAGUGCCCGUAAAUUCGGGCUGUCCAUCAGUGUAAAUAACUGGUGAAGAAAGGGCCGGGCAAGACCGGUGCCAGCCGCCGCGGUAAUACCGGCGGCUCGAGUGGUGGCCGCUAUUACUGGGCUUAAAGCGUCCGUAGCUGGGUUGUUAAGUCUCCUGGGAAAUCUACCGGCUCAACCGAUGGGCGUUCAGGAGAUACUGGCAACCUAGGGACCGGGAGAGGUGAGGGGUACUCCAGGGGUAGGAGUGAAAUCCUGUAAUCCUUGGGGGACCACCUGUGGCGAAGGCGUCUCACCAGAACGGCUCCGACAGUGAGGGACGAAAGCUGGGGGAGCAAACCGGAUUAGAUACCCGGGUAGUCCCAGCCGUAAACGAUGCGCGUUAGGUGUGUCGGUGACCACGAGUCACCGAGGUGCCGAAGGGAAACCGUGAAACGUGCCGCC